Vicia villosa (hairy vetch) is the source of this 1033-nucleotide long non-coding RNA. RefSeq lists it as uncharacterized. NCBI's taxonomy places the organism in Eukaryota, Viridiplantae, Streptophyta, Magnoliopsida, Fabales, Fabaceae. The record is from RefSeq and is a predicted model, not a curated record. The transcript is spliced from 3 exons.
AUAGUCCAGUUGGCAAGCCAGUUGUGAAAUCUGGCGCUGCGCUACAAGCUUCAGGUUUGUUUCAAAUCAAGUUUUGAGUUAAAUACCGAUGACAGUUUUCUUUACUUUGUACAAAUUUAAUGAUAAAUCAUAUAUAGGUGAGGCUGUGUUUGUGGAUGAUAUUCCAUAACCAUCAAAUUGUCUGCACGGAGCGUAUGUUUAUAGUGAAAAACCAUUGGCAAGAAUAACAAGUAUAAAACUCAGGCAAGAAUUGGAACUUCAUGGAGUGAAGGGUAUCAUUUCAAGUAAAGACAUUCCGAAUGGUGGGGUGAACCUUGGAGCAAAGAUUAUAUUUGGAAGCGAACCUCUAUUUGCCGAAGAGAUUGCUCAAUGUGUCGGUGAUCGUCUUGCCUUUGUGGUUGCAGAUACUUAGAAACUUGCAGAGUUUGCUGCAAAUUCCGCUUUUGUUGAAUACAGUAUUGAAAAUCUUGAACCACCUAUCCUAAGUGUUGAAGAUGCUGUUAAAAAAUCUAGUUUUUUUGAUGUUCCUCCAUCUUAUCAACCAAAAAAUCAAAUUGGUGAUAUAUCAAAAGGAAUGGCUGAAGCAGAUCACAAGAUUGUUUCUUCUAAGAGAUUGCUGAUUUCCUUGAAUGAACUGGAGAAGCUGAAACCAUUGGCUCAACAGAAGAUCAACGAGCUUAACAGUAGAAAUGCUCACUGACAAAAUGGACGGGAUAAUUUGAUGCAUCAAUGUGAUGCAUCAGUUGUUCGUGGCCUUUCUUAUUACACUGGCGUUGUAUUUGAGGUUAGACUGUACUUCGUUCCUCUCCCAUGUCCGUCGCUCCCAAAAAAGAGAAAACCACCGUCCCUGUCCUCAACAUCGACAGCGACGACGACACCUCCGCCAGUGCUGUAAUGAGCGACGUUCAUUUACCACUUCAGAUUCAGGAGCAGCAAAACCCUCCCGAAUCAAGUUCAGUUCUGUUAGUCACUGAAAGCCAUGGUUUAUGGAAAGCCGGUGACUAUGUUGUUGGUCCAACUUCUAAGCCAUCUC